GGGGAAUAUUGGACAAUGGGGGGAACCCUGAUCCAGCCAUGCCGCGUGUGUGAAGAAGGCCUUUUGGUUGUAAAGCACUUUAAGCGAGGAGGAGGCUACUUAGAUUAAUACUCUAGGAUAGUGGACGUUACUCGCAGAAUAAGCACCGGCUAACUCUGUGCCAGCAGCCGCGGUAAUACAGAGGGUGCGAGCGUUAAUCGGAUUUACUGGGCGUAAAGCGUGCGUAGGUGGUCUUUUAAGUCGGAUGUGAAAUCCCUGAGCUUAACUUAGGAAUUGCAUUCGAUACUGGGAGACUAGAGUAUGGGAGAGGAUGGUAGAAUUCCAGGUGUAGCGGUGAAAUGCGUAGAGAUCUGGAGAAAUACCGAUGGCGAAGGCAGCCAUCUGGCCUAAUACUGACACUGAGGCACGAAAGCAUGGGGAGCAAACAGGAUUAGAUACCCUGGUAGUCCAUGCCGUAAACGAUGUCUACUAGCCGUUGGGGUCUUUAAGACUUUAGUGGCGCAGCUAACGCGAUAAGUACACCGCCUGGGGAGUACGGUCGCAAGACUAAAACUCAUAUGAAUUGACGGGGGCCCCCACAAGCGGUGGAGCAUGUGGUUUAA
This 602-nucleotide ribosomal RNA is filed under the name uncultured bacterium. RNAcentral's name for it is "bacterial SSU rRNA". It matches the Rfam family "Bacterial small subunit ribosomal RNA", at positions 356 to 949 of the family's 1533-position model. The record is from RNAcentral.